UGCCUGUCCCAUCAGCUGCUCCCCUCAGGUGCUUGGCUCCUGUCUGGCCUGCACACACUGGUGUCCCUCUGCCAGGACCCCUGGGACAAGGCAAAGGAACAGACCCAGGUCUCAUCCUGAGCUGGGAUCAGAGGGCAGCUGGGCUGUGUGGGCCUGGGGGCUAAAAUGUCCUCACAGGUGGCAGAGUUUAAAUGUAGCCACAGGGCACAUAGGGAAGAGUCUAGAAAGUUGCAGAGCCAAACUGGUUCAGUACAGGACCUUCUGGGUUUUAGGAAGUGUUAAUAAUGGUCUCUCAGUUCCCAAGGUAAUCUGUUGGAGCACUGGGAGUGUUCAAGCUUUGGCAAUAAUGUUUGAAUUAACAAAUUGUUUUCAAGACCACAGGCAUUACUCAUACAGGCUUUUCUGUAACUUACGGUUUUGUUUGUGUAAAAGCUUGUAGGAGAGUGAAGGCUUACUAAAUUAGCAGAUCUGUUUGAAAAAGGCAUGUGUUAAGGCACGGAAAUCCUUUUCCAGGUCCACGGAAUGGCCGCAAUAAUGCUAUUAUCUUGGCAUAUUGCUGUUUCUUUUGUGAACCAGAAGAUGUAACAGUACCCUUUUGUGUCAGGCCUGGAUGCCUGUGCCUCCCUCUACGUAUGUAGCAAUCCAGGUAGAAAGAUGGUAAAUGAGUAAGGGUGUGAGUACGCUGUUGGUGUGACACAGAUGUGGGAGACGGUUCAGGUACCGGUGGCAGCCCAUCUGAAGGAACAGAGAGUUCAAUGGUUGAACACCCCCCUCCAGAAACCAGGCUGCUUCCUGAGUCUUCUCUGGUUUGGUGCCGCAGGGAGCGUACUUGGGAAUGGACCUGCUCUGGCUGCAAGGUCUGACUGACUGACCUGGCUCCAGGGGCAGGAGCACCUUCCUACCAUGCUAUUUUUUUUCUCCUAGGAUUGCACGCUUCUUGGGACAUGGAAUAAAGACGACUUCUGUUGUUUCACAGGUCAAUGUGAUGAAACGCAAUGGGCUGGCUUAACAGAUUGCUACGGACUGAGCCAGCAGCUGCAGUGGUUGUCUUCUGUCCAAAGUCCUUCAGUCUCAUCAUGCAGAAGGGUACUCUUUUUCACCCAGAUUAAGGGAACUUUGCAGUGCCAUGGCUUUGGGGGUGAGCACUGCUGUCAACAGUCCGGUUGUUUGCCUUGUUCCAGCCUGCAAGAUGACCGAGGGCCACAGUAUCAGAACUGAGGAGCAGGUUGCAGUCGUGACUUUGAUACUGCAGUCCCCUGAACCCCGGAGGGUUUUGCCGGUGCGGUGCCCUGGGACAGCCCCGGGGGCAGCCGGCGGUGUCACCUUGGACAGCACCGGGAGAGCGCGGAUUGAUGGCGGUCCCGGUCCCCUCGCCCACAGCCGGCGUCAAAGCAACACGGAGACCCAAGAGAAGGUCUCUUGGAAGAGGAGCAGAGCCGGCUGAUGAUACUUUUUCAGCAGUAGAAGCAGCAGCUUUUCUGGGCUUGAUCCCCACAAUGCUGACUGCCCCUGGCUUCUCCUGCUGUCACUUGGAAUGGGGUGAGCUGCACCUUGUGGGGCCAGGACCUCUUGAGGGGGUGGUAAGGGAGCUGCUGGGUGCUCCUGCUCUCACCUAUGGUGCAAUGGUGGCAACGCUAGGACCCCUGGUAACUGGACGUGGAGGCAGCCAGCUGGGCCUUGCAAGGGAACUGGCUCCUUUUUACUGGAGAAUGACUGCACAGCAGUAAUUAUAGAUUCAAUAAUUCCUCCACUAUCUUCAGCUUCAUUUAAUUCCCCCCUUAACAGAUGUCUGCUACGGAGGAGAAGAAAAGAGAAGAGCUUUUCUGUUACAGGGAUUUUUUGGGCACCUUAAGCAAUGGCUAUAAAGUAGAGGAGGUGGAUUGCAACCCAACACGAUCACAUCUCUCUCCAGAGUCCUUCUCUUUGUUCUUAAUCUCAUUUGACUGGUAACUGCUCAACAGCAAUCAGAAAAGCAUUUGAAACAUCCUAUCGAUCCAGCACAGAUUUUUAACACAGGCCAGUCCAAUUAGACUGUUAUGGGUGGCCAAAAUAAGAUCCCCAUGCUCUUGAUAAGUCACAUGAAUAAAGUACUGGAUGGUCAUGUUGCAGUGAGCAAUUUGAAACUGAGAGCAGGAAAGUUUCUAGCCUCAGUUUCUGUCUAGAAAAGCAGACAGCAGGGAAAGGAUCUGCUGCUCUUGAUUAAAAAAAAAAUAGAGCUGGAAAUGAAACAGAUUAAACCAUUAGUUUAUUUCACUUCUGCUUUGAGGAGAGCUAUGCCAUACUGCUCUGCACAAGGACACCAGAUUAAUCACCUUUUCUCUCCUUCACCUUUUAUAGUGAUGCUGCACAAAUGGUAUCAAGCUGACGGAGAAAAUUAUAAAUACACUGUGUCUGCAAUUUAGCAGCAUUAAUCACACAAAUUUAGUAGUUUUAGAUCGUAGUAGGUCAUCCAUUAGCUGAAAAGUUGACAGUUGUAGCAUAGAAGCCCAAGUUCAGGCCUCAUCUUCCCCUUUCAGGUCAUCUAUUUCUUCUCGGUAAAAACAUCUGGUCAUUUCAAAACUGUAAUUUUCAUACAUUUCAGCUAACAGUGGAAUGUUGAAAAGCUGUUCUGAAAAACAUAGUUCUUUCCUGUGCCAAACCAGUUGGCCUAGAGUUAGUAAAUGUUGUUAUAAAUCUUUCCUUUGCUUUUUCAACAGCUUUAAAACUACAGAAUUAAAUGCUUCAUAAAGACUAGCCAGUGGACACAGGUUAGUAUGCUGAAGAAGUUGAGCACGCAAGACCGCUCGAAUGCUGCUCCAGUCACCCCACAGAGCUCUAGUCUGCAGAACUCCCAAGCUGCCUCCCAACCCCAAACCUUAGAUGGAGGAUCCUUUUGCUUUCUUUCCCUCCUCCCAAGCACAGCUUAAUAUAAGGCACUGAGUAGGGUCAGAAAGAAGAUAAAAACCCCAGAAAGCCUGCCUUCAGUCACAUAUACGCACAUUCUCCAUUAAUGUGUGUCUGUGGAGAUGGUCUUUCUCACUGCUUGUCCUCCAAGUCUAUCUUACCCCAGCCUUGUGUGUAGUCAUAAAUAGUAGGCUGAUGGAUUCCCCCUACAGUACAGCCCCCAUUUAUUUGCUAAAAAGAAGGGGGGGGGAAAAAAAAAAAAGAGAGAGAGAAACAGCAACACAGCAGUUUGCCAGUCCCAAAGAAUUAGCAAUAUGAAGUGAAAAUUUUGGAAGUGAUGAGAUCAUUUUUCUACUUUUCCAAGGUAAAUUUCAUCCAGAGGGAACUGAGGACAUUAAA
This is a long non-coding RNA of Falco peregrinus (peregrine falcon), 3282 nucleotides long. RefSeq lists it as uncharacterized. The transcript has 4 exons. Lineage: Eukaryota; Metazoa; Chordata; Aves; Falconiformes; Falconidae. The record is from RefSeq and is a predicted model, not a curated record.